CAGUCGCCACGGUAAGACAGAGGAUGCAAGCGUUAAUCGGAUUUACUGGGCGUAAAGCGUGCGUAGGCGGCUUCUUAAGUCGGAUGUGAAAUCCCUGAGCUUAACUUAGGAAUUGCAUUCGAUACUGGGAAGCUAGAGUAUGGGAGAGGAUGGUAGAAUUCCAGGUGUAGCGGUGAAAUGCGUAGAGAUCUGGAGGAAUACCGAUGGCGAAGGCAGCCAUCUGGCCUAAUACUGACGCUGAGGUACGAAAGCAUGGGGAGCAAACAGGAUUAGAUACCCCCGUAGUCCCUGUCUCUUAUAA
Molecule: ribosomal RNA, 301 nt
Filed under: uncultured bacterium
Lineage: Bacteria
Description: partial 16S ribosomal RNA
Rfam family: Bacterial small subunit ribosomal RNA
Source: RNAcentral